This is a non-coding RNA of Ataeniobius toweri, 79 nucleotides long. The record is from the annotation of a GenBank genome assembly. NCBI's taxonomy places the organism in Eukaryota, Metazoa, Chordata, Actinopteri, Cyprinodontiformes, Goodeidae.
UGUAUGGUGGUGCAGUUGGUAGCACUGUCAACUUGCAAGAAGGUCCUGGGUUCGACUCCUGGCCAGGGGUCUAUUGCAU